CCCGUGUCUAUUGUACCUUGUUGCUUCGGCGGGCCCGCCGUUUUCGAACGGCCGCCGGGGAGGCCUCGCGCCCCCGGGCCCGCGCCCGCCGAAGACCCCAACAUGAACGCUGUUCUGAAAGUAUGCAGUCUGAGUUUGAUUAUCAUAAUCAGUUAAAACUUUCAACAACGGAUCUCUUGGUUCCGGCAUCNAUGAAAAACGCANCGAAAUGCNAUAAGUAAUGUGAAUUGCAGAAUUCANUGAAUCAUCGAGUCUUUGAACGCACAUUGCGCCCCCUGGUAUUCCGGGGGGCAUGCCUGUCCGAGCGUCAUUGCUGCCCUCAAGCACGGCUUGUGUGUUGGGCCCCCGUCCCCGGUUCU
This 359-nucleotide ribosomal RNA is filed under the name fungal sp. OMLIsolate8. Its description in RNAcentral is "partial 18S ribosomal RNA". The stretch from base 157 to 310 matches the Rfam family "5.8S ribosomal RNA". Lineage: Eukaryota; Fungi. The record is from RNAcentral.